RNAcentral lists this ribosomal RNA (458 nucleotides) under uncultured Syntrophus sp. Its description in RNAcentral is "bacterial SSU rRNA". It matches the Rfam family "Bacterial small subunit ribosomal RNA", at positions 925 to 1382 of the family's 1533-position model. Lineage: Bacteria; Pseudomonadati; Thermodesulfobacteriota; Syntrophia; Syntrophales; Syntrophaceae. The record is from RNAcentral.
ACAAGCGGUGGAGCAUGUGGUUUAAUUCGAUGCAACGCGAAGAACCUUACCUGGGCUUGACAUCCCGGGAAUCCCCUGGAAACAGGGGAGUGCCCUUCGGGGAACCCGGUGACAGGUGCUGCAUGGCUGUCGUCAGCUCGUGUCGUGAGAUGUUGGGUUAAGUCCCGCAACGAGCGCAACCCUUGUCUUUAAUUGCCAUCAUUUAGUUGGGCACUUUAAAGAGACUGCCGGUGUUAAGCCGGAGGAAGGUGGGGAUGACGUCAAGUCCUCAUGGCCUUUAUGCCCAGGGCUACACACGUGCUACAAUGGCAGGUACAGAGGGCUGCGAAGCCGCGAGGUGGAGCGAAUCCCAGAAAACCUGUCUCAGUCCGGAUUGAAGUCUGCAACUCGACUUCAUGAAGGCGGAAUCGCUAGUAACCGCGAAUCAGCAGGUCGCGGUGAAUACGUUCCCGGGCCUU